Molecule: long non-coding RNA, 471 nt
Organism: Osmerus eperlanus (European smelt)
Lineage: Eukaryota; Metazoa; Chordata; Actinopteri; Osmeriformes; Osmeridae
Exons: 4
Source: RefSeq, a predicted model, not a curated record
UUCAUGUGUCAUCGGACUGAGAAAGAAUGUGUGUGUGAGAGAGAGAGAGAUGAACUGAAAUGUGACUCAGCACUAUUGUGACCUCCAACAGGACAGCACACAUUCUGAUGAUGACACAGUCAUGCGUGUGCGAGGGUUUAUGCGUGUGGUGUUUUCCAGCCUAUCAAGCAGUCCAGAAAGUACAUUGACUAAGCCAUCAUAUACGGCCUGAAUAUGCUGAGGAAUCUGUCCCUGCAGGAUGCAGAAAAGGUCUUCAUCUCUGGACCAGUUUAUCAUCGGAGUGAAGUGGAGGAGUUUGAUAGGGGGAUAUCUAAACAAUUGUGCACAAAAGGGAGACCAUUCAACUAGAUGAAGUUGUAUGGAGUUCGAUAUGGAGGUCUAGAUGGAGUGAUAUGGAGGGGGGAUGGAGUGAUAUGGAGGGGUGAUUGUCAUUGUUUGACAAUUGUUCAAAAUAAACAAUGUAUAUCUUGA